Molecule: ribosomal RNA, 429 nt
Filed under: Chloroflexota bacterium
Lineage: Bacteria; Bacillati; Chloroflexota
Description: Chloroflexi bacterium partial 16S ribosomal RNA
Rfam family: Bacterial small subunit ribosomal RNA
Source: RNAcentral
UGGGGAAUAUUGCACAAUGGGCGCAAGCCUGAUGCAGCCAUGCCGCGUGUAUGAAGAAGGCCUUCGGGUUGUAAAGUACUUUCAGUCGGGAGGAAGGUGGUAAGGUUAAUAACCUUAUCAAUUGACGUUACCGACGGAAGAAGCACCGGCUAACUCCGUGCCAGCAGCCGCGGUAAUACGGAGGGUGCAAGCGUUAAUCGGAAUUACUGGGCGUAAAGCGCACGCAGGCGGUUGAUUGAGUCAGAUGUGAAAUCCCCGGGCUUAACCCGGGAAUUGCAUCUGAUACUGGUCAGCUAGAGUCUUGUAGAGGGGGGUAGAAUUCCAUGUGUAGCGGUGAAAUGCGUAGAGAUGUGGAGGAAUACCGGUGGCGAAGGCGGCCCCCUGGACAAAGACUGACGCUCAGGUGCGAAAGCGUGGGGAGCAAACAGG